This 103-nucleotide ribosomal RNA is filed under the name Pseudomonas avellanae. The record is from RNAcentral. Lineage: Bacteria; Pseudomonadati; Pseudomonadota; Gammaproteobacteria; Pseudomonadales; Pseudomonadaceae.
ACAUUGGAACCACCUGAUCCCAUCCCGAACUUCAGCAGUGAAACGAUUGUAUCGCCGAUGGUAGUGUGGGGUUUCCCCAUGUGAGAGUAGGUCAUCGUCAAGA